Molecule: long non-coding RNA, 184 nt
Organism: Amblyraja radiata (thorny skate)
Lineage: Eukaryota; Metazoa; Chordata; Chondrichthyes; Rajiformes; Rajidae
Exons: 3
Source: RefSeq, a predicted model, not a curated record
ACGCAAGUUUAACAGAUAGAGCUAAGGGGAAGGUACUGAGUGCAGAAUAUAGAUUUCAGCAUUGUAGUUCAUCAAUUCCAUAGACAAAGUCCAAUGUCUGCAAUGGGAUAGAGGUGAAUUGGACAGAACCUUGACUUAUGGAAGAACCGUUCAGAAGUCUAAUAACAGAGGGGAAGAUGCUGUU